UACGGGGGGGGCAAGCGUUGUUCGGAAUUACUGGGCGUAAAGGGCUCGUAGGCGGCCAACUAAGUCGGACGUGAAAUCCCCAGGCUCAACCUGGGAACUGCGUCCGAUACUGGAUGGCUUGAAUUCGGGAGAGGGAUGCAGAAUUCCAGGUGUAGCGGUGAAAUGCGUAGAUAUCUGGAGGAAUACCGGUGGCGAAGGCGGGUCUCUGGACAGUUCCUGACGCUGAGGCACGAAGGCCAGGGGAGCAAACGGG
RNAcentral lists this ribosomal RNA (253 nucleotides) under uncultured bacterium. RNAcentral's name for it is "partial 16S ribosomal RNA". It matches the Rfam family "Bacterial small subunit ribosomal RNA", at positions 524 to 776 of the family's 1533-position model. The record is from RNAcentral.